AUGGUUAAGUUAGAAAGGGCGCACGGUGGAUGCCUUGGCACUAGGAGCCGAUGAAGGACGGGACGAACACCGAUAUGCUUCGGGGAGCUGUAAGCAAGCUUUGAUCCGGAGAUUUCCGAAUGGGGAAACCCACUGCUCGUAAUGGAGUAGUAUCCAUACUUGAAUACAUAGAGUAUGAGAAGGCAUACCCGGGGAACUGAAACAUCUAAGUACCCGGAGGAAGAGAAAGCAAAUGCGAUUCCCUGAGUAGCGGCGAGCGAAACGGGAACAGCCCAAACCAAGAGGCUUGCCUCUUGGGGUUGUAGGACACUCUAUACGGAGUUACAAAGGAACGAUAUAAGCGAAGAGGUCUGGAAAGGCCCGCCAAAGAAGGUAACAGCCCUGUAACUGAAAUGUUGUUCUCUCCAGAGUGGAUCCUGAGUACGGCGGAACACGUGAAAUUCCGUCGGAAUCCGGGAGGACCAUCUCCCAAGGCUAAAUACUCCCUAGUGACCGAUAGUGAACCAGUACCGUGAGGGAAAGGUGAAAAGCACCCCGGAAGGGGAGUGAAAUAGAUCCUGAAACCGUGUGCCUACAAGUAGUCAGAGCCCGUUAACGGGUGAUGGCGUGCCUUUUGUAGAAUGAACCGGCGAGUUACGAUCCCGUGCAAGGUUAAGCAGAAGAUGCGGAGCCGCAGCGAAAGCGAGUCUGAAUAGGGCGCAUGAGUACGUGGUCGUAGACCCGAAACCAGGUGAUCUACCCAUGUCCAGGGUGAAGUUCAGGUAACACUGAAUGGAGGCCCGAACCCACGCACGUUGAAAAGUGCGGGGAUGAGGUGUGGGUAGGGGUGAAAUGCCAAUCGAACCUGGAGAUAGCUGGUUCUCUCCGAAAUAGCUUUAGGGCUAGCCUCAAGGUAAGAGUCUCGGAGGUAGAGCACUGAUUGGACUAGGGGCCCCUACCGGGUUACCGAAUUCAGUCAAACUCCGAAUGCCGAUGACUUAUCCUUGGGAGUCAGACUGCGAGUGAUAAGAUCCGUAGUCGAAAGGGAAACAGCCCAGACCGCCAGCUAAGGUCCCAAAGUAUACGUUAAGUGGAAAAGGAUGUGGAGUUGCUUAGACAACCAGGAUGUUGGCUUAGAAGCAGCCACCAUUUAAAGAGUGCGUAAUAGCUCACUGGUCGAGUGACUCUGCGCCGAAAAUGUACCGGGGCUAAACGUAUCACCGAAGCUGCGGACUGUUCUUACGAACAGUGGUAGGAGAGCGUUCUAAGGGCUGUGAAGCCAGACCGGAAGGACUGGUGGAGCGCUUAGAAGUGAGAAUGCCGGUAUGAGUAGCGAAAGACGGGUGAGAAUCCCGUCCACCGAAUGCCUAAGGUUUCCUGAGGAAGGCUCGUCCGCUCAGGGUUAGUCGGGACCUAAGCCGAGGCCGAAAGGCGUAGGCGAUGGACAACAGGUUGAUAUUCCUGUACCACCUCCUCACCAUUUGAGCAAUGGGGGGACGCAGGAGGAUAGGGUAAGCGCGGUAUUGGAUAUCCGCGUCCAAGCAGUUAGGCUGGGAAAUAGGCAAAUCCGUUUCCCGUAAAGGCUGAGCUGUGAUGGCGAGCGAAAUUUAGUAGCGAAGUUCCUGAUUCCACACUGCCAAGAAAAGCCUCUAGCGAGGUGAGAGGUGCCCGUACCGCAAACCGACACAGGUAGGCGAGGAGAGAAUCCUAAGGUGAUCGAGAGAACUCUCGUUAAGGAACUCGGCAAAAUGACCCCGUAACUUCGGGAGAAGGGGUGCUUCUUAGGGUGUUAAAGCCCCGAGAAGCCGCAGUGAAUAGGCCCAGGCGACUGUUUAGCAAAAACACAGGUCUCUGCGAAGCCGUAAGGCGAAGUAUAGGGGCUGACGCCUGCCCGGUGCUGGAAGGUUAAGAGGAGCGCUUAGCGUAAGCGAAGGUGCGAAUUGAAGCCCCAGUAAACGGCGGCCGUAACUAUAACGGUCCUAAGGUAGCGAAAUUCCUUGUCGGGUAAGUUCCG
This 1993-nucleotide ribosomal RNA is filed under the name Bacillus safensis. Its description in RNAcentral is "partial 23S ribosomal RNA". It matches the Rfam family "Bacterial large subunit ribosomal RNA", at positions 1 to 1985 of the family's 2925-position model. The record is from RNAcentral. Lineage: Bacteria; Bacillati; Bacillota; Bacilli; Caryophanales; Bacillaceae.